Molecule: long non-coding RNA, 707 nt
Filed under: Gossypium raimondii (Peruvian cotton)
Lineage: Eukaryota; Viridiplantae; Streptophyta; Magnoliopsida; Malvales; Malvaceae
Description: long non-coding RNA (GRAI_LNC001088)
Source: RNAcentral
AAGUAUUUAAAAUAAAAUAAAAUUAAAAUUGAAUUAAAUUAAAAAUAUAAAUACAAAAUAUAAAAAUGUAUAAAAUACUAAUAAUAUUAAAACGAAAUAACAUAAAAAUACGAGCAUUAAAAUAAAAAUAAAUAAAUAAAAUUACCGAAAAUAUCCAAAACACGAGCUUGGCCGAACGGGUUACACAAAUUAAAACCUUUUUUUUUUCUUUUUUUUUCCUUCUUCUUUCUUCCCUUUUUCUUCUUUUUUCUCUCUUUUUCUUUUUUUUUUCUGGACUGGGCUGGGCAGGUUGUUGGGCCUGCAGCUGGAACGGGCCCGUUGUGGCCCCUUUUUUUCUACUUUGGGCCUGCUCUUUUUUUUAUUUGGGCUGUUUUGAUUUUUUUUUUUUUGUAUUGCUUUUUCUUUUUUUUUCUUUUGCUUAAUUUCUUUUUUUUUUUGGGCUUUUGGGUUUGGGUUGUGGGUUGCGGGUCGGGUCGGGUCACCGGAUCGGGUCGUGGGUUGGGUCGAGUCGGCCGGUUCAGGUCGGGUCAGCCCGAUUUUUUAAAAAAUAUAUUUUCUUUUUCUUUUUUUUUCUUCUUUCUUCUUUCUUCUUCUUCUUCUUCCUUGAACCUUAGUUGUGUCGCCGCCACUCGCAGCCGUUCGUGCCGCUCGUCUCCGUCGGUGAUGCUCCGACCAACCUCCCUUCUCCUUUCUUCCUUUUUUUUUUC